Molecule: transfer RNA, 73 nt
Filed under: Mus musculus (house mouse)
Lineage: Eukaryota; Metazoa; Chordata; Mammalia; Rodentia; Muridae
Description: tRNA-Ser
Rfam family: tRNA (bases 8-65)
About the family: Transfer RNA (tRNA) molecules are approximately 80 nucleotides in length. Their secondary structure includes four short double-helical elements and three loops (D, anti-codon, and T loops). Further hydrogen bonds mediate the characteristic L-shaped molecular structure. tRNAs have two regions of fundamental functional importance: the anti-codon, which is responsible for specific mRNA codon recognition, and the 3' end, to which the tRNAs corresponding amino acid is attached (by aminoacyl-tRNA synthetases). tRNAs cope with the degeneracy of the genetic code in two manners: having more than one tRNA (with a specific anti-codon) for a particular amino acid; and 'wobble' base-pairing, i.e. permitting non-standard base-pairing at the 3rd anti-codon position.
Source: RNAcentral
GGAGAGAUGGCUCAGUGGUUAAGAGCACUGACUGCUCUUCCAGAGGCCCUGAGUUCAAUUCUCAGCAACCACA